RNAcentral lists this ribosomal RNA (292 nucleotides) under uncultured bacterium. RNAcentral describes it as "partial 16S ribosomal RNA". It matches the Rfam family "Bacterial small subunit ribosomal RNA", at positions 505 to 796 of the family's 1533-position model. The record is from RNAcentral.
GUGUCAGCAGCCGCGGUAAUACAGAGGUCCCGAGCGUUGUUCGGAUUCACUGGGCGUAAAGGGUGCGUAGGUGGCUGGGAAAGUUCGGUGUGAAAGCUCGGAGCUCAACUCCGAAAAGGCAUUGAAUACUAUCUGGCUGGAGGGUCGGAGGGGAGACUGGAAUUCUCGGUGUAGCAGUGAAAUGCGUAGAUAUCGAGAGGAACACCAGUGGCGAAGGCGAGUCUCUGGACGACACCUGACACUGAGGCACGAAAGCUAGGGGAGCAAACAGGAUUAGAUACCCCCGUAGUCC